UACGGGGGGGGCAAGCGUUGUUCGGAAUUACUGGGCGUAAAGGGCUCGUAGGCGGCCAACUAAGUCAUACGUGAAAUCCCUCGGCUUAACCGGGGAACUGCGUCUGAUACUGGAUGGCUUGAGUUCUGGAGAGGGAUGCGGAAUUCCAGGUGUAGCGGUGAAAUGCGUAGAUAUCUGGAGGAACACCGGUGGCGAAGGCGGCAUCCUGGACCGAUACUGACGCUGAGGAGCGAAAGCCAGGGGAGCAAACGGG
This 253-nucleotide ribosomal RNA is filed under the name uncultured bacterium. Its description in RNAcentral is "partial 16S ribosomal RNA". It matches the Rfam family "Bacterial small subunit ribosomal RNA", at positions 524 to 776 of the family's 1533-position model. The record is from RNAcentral.